UCCCCCUUAUCGAGGGCAGUUUCCUUAGGGUGCUUCCCUUGCGGGCGAGCAACUAAGGAUGAGGGUUGCGCUCGUUGCGGAACUUAACCCAACAUCUCACGACACGAGCUGACGACAGCCACGCAGCACCUGUGCCGGCUCUCGACUUUACGAGUCGUCCCCCUUUCGGGGUUCUACUUCCGGCAUGUCAAGCCUAGGUGAGGUUCUUCGCGUUGCAUCGAAUUAAACCACACGCUCCGCUGCUUGUGCGGGCCCCCGUCAAUUCCUUUGAGUUUUAGCCUUGCGGCCGUACUCCCCAGGCGGGGUGCUUAAUGCGUUAGCUUCGGCACGGAGGGAGUCGACACCCCCCACACCUAGCACCCAUCGUUUACGGCGUGGACUAC
RNAcentral lists this unclassified non-coding RNA (383 nucleotides) under uncultured bacterium. RNAcentral's name for it is "contains 16S-23S intergenic spacer region". The record is from RNAcentral.